GAUGCGCGUGGUAGCGGAGCGUUCUGUGAUAUAGAACGCUGCCUCCUUAGUAUCCUCGGAUACAUUGGAGGCAAUGUUCUGACUGUGAAGCCGGGCCGUAAGGCAGCCGGUGGAGUGAUCAGAAGUGAGAAUGUUGACAUGAGUAGCGACAAACAGGGUGAGAGACCCUGUCGCCGAAAGUCCAAGGGUUCCUGCUUAAAGCUAAUCUGAGCAGGGUAAGCCGACCCCUAAGGCGAGGCCGAAAGGCGUAGUCGAUGGGAACCAGGUUAAUAUUCCUGGGCCAUGUGGUGGUGACGGAUUGCGAGGGUUGUUCGAUCUUAUUGGAUUGAUCGGGCCGCUUAGCAGUUCCUGGAAAUAGCCCCACUGUAAGAUCGUACCCGAAACCGACACAGGUGGACUGGUAGAGAAUACCAAGGCGCUUGAGAGAACCACGUUUAAGGAACUCGGCAAAAUGCCUCCGUAAGUUCGCGAGAAGGAGGCCCCAUUCGGACGCAAGUCUGGGUGGGGGGCACAAACUAGGGGGUGGCGACUGUUUACUUAAAACACAGGGCUGUGCGAAGCCGUAAGGCGACGUAUACAGUCUGACGCCUGCCCGGUGCCGGAAGGUUAAAAGGAGAAGUGCAAGCUUUGAAUUGAAGCCCCGGUAAACGGCGGCCGUAACUAUAACGGUCCUAAGGUAGCGAAAUUCCUUGUCGGGUAAGUUCCGACCUGCACGAAUGGCGUAACGAUCUCCCCGCUGUCUCAAACGUGGACUCAGCGAAAUUGAACUGUGUGUCAAGAUGCACACUACCCGCGGUUAGACGGAAAGACCCCAUGAACCUUUACUAUAGCUUCGCACUGGCAUCAGGAUUGUGAUGUGCAGGAUAGGUGGUGGGCUUUGAAACCGGGACGCUAGUCUCGGUGGAGCCAUCCUUGAGAUACCACCCUUCGCACUCUUGAUGUCUAACCGCGGUCCGUUAUCCGGAUCCGGGACCCUGCGUGGUGGGUAGUUUGACUGGGGCGGUCGCCUCCCAAAGUGUAACGGAGGCGCGCGAAGGUUGGCUCAGACCGGUCGGAAAUCGGUCGUUGAGUGCAAUGGCAAAAGCCAGCCUGACUGCAAGACUGACAAGUCGAGCAGAGACGAAAGUCGGCCAUAGUGAUCCGGUGGUCCCGAGUGGAAGGGCCAUCGCUCAACGGAUAAAAGGUACUCUGGGGAUAACAGGCUGAUGGUGCCCAAGAGUCCAUAUCGACGGCACCGUUUGGCACCUCGAUGUCGGCUCAUCUCAUCCUGGGGCUGGAGCAGGUCCCAAGGGUACGGCUGUUCGCCGUUUAAAGAGGUACGUGAGCUGGGUUUAGAACGUCGUGAGACAGUUCGGUCCCUAUCUGCCGUGGGUGUAGGAUACUUGAGAAGAGUUGCCCCUAGUACGAGAGGACCGGGGUGAACGGACCACUGGUGGACCAGUUAUCGUGCCAACGGUAGUGCUGGGUAGCUAUGUUCGGACAGGAUAACCGCUGAAAGCAUCUAAGCGGGAAGCCCCCUUCAAAACUAGGUAUCCCUUGAGGGCCGUGGAAGACCACCACGUCGAUAGGCCAGAGAUGUAAGCGCGGCAACGCGUUCAGUUGACUGGUACUAAUUGCCCGAUAGGCUUGAUUUG
This 1634-nucleotide ribosomal RNA is filed under the name Thioclava dalianensis. RNAcentral's name for it is "bacterial LSU rRNA". It matches the Rfam family "Bacterial large subunit ribosomal RNA", at positions 814 to 2925 of the family's 2925-position model. Lineage: Bacteria; Pseudomonadati; Pseudomonadota; Alphaproteobacteria; Rhodobacterales; Paracoccaceae. The record is from RNAcentral.